GAGACAGAGAGACAGAGAGAGAGAGAGACAGAGAGAGACAGAGACAGAGAGAGACUGAGAGAGAGAGACAGAGAGACAGAGAGAUACAGACACAAAGAGAGAAAACACACACAAAGAGAGAAACAGAGAGAAACAGACACAGAGAAACGAGAGAAAGAGAGAGAGAAAAAGAGAGAGAGAAGAGAGGGGGGGGUUACAGUAACAAUGAGGGUCUUGAGCAAACACUGCAGCUUCCAGGGAGUCCCACAGGGUGGGGCUUGUGAGGAAAGAGGGAAGAUGGGAGGGAGGAGGCUGCCACUUAGGCUAAACUUCAGGUCCAGGACAGGAUUUCACCUCAGAAGACUGAAAAUCUGUGACCUCCUUUUUGCUUGUAACACCUGCCAGACCCUGACGUGCCCUGAGAGUACGUUUUAGACCUUAAACUCCUAUUUUACUUGUUAUUCAAAAACCCAAAGACAGCUUUCUUUUUAACUACCGCAAAUAUACAGGGAUAGACUCGGUAUAAAACUUAACCUUGACUUAUAGAAUAUAUCCCUCUAUACAUAACACGCAAGAAUAUAACACUUGUGUAACUGAAAAACUAUUUUCUGAUAAAAUAUUUAGUUAAUUCCCCUGGGGUGUAUGAAAAGGAAGAAAAUAUAAAGAAUGGUUCUGCCACCCUAAAUCCAAAUUACCAAACCCUUUAACACAUUUGGGGGUACACAUAUUCUCCUGUGAUCACGCAAACCCUAGGAACACAACCCCAAAUCUGAACUUCCUUCUCUAAUAGAAACACAGGCUUAGAGGUACAUGCCAGCGUACAUGCCGGACUCCACACUUCCGUCCUCACCCCGGAAACUGGUCAAAAGUGGAAAUUCAAAUAUCAAGCAAACAAAAAUAAAUGUUAGCAUAUCUCAAA
This 898-nucleotide long non-coding RNA is filed under the name Rattus norvegicus (Norway rat). RNAcentral's name for it is "long non-coding RNA NONRATT016875". Lineage: Eukaryota; Metazoa; Chordata; Mammalia; Rodentia; Muridae. The record is from RNAcentral.